Long non-coding RNA from Poecilia latipinna (sailfin molly), 696 nucleotides. RefSeq lists it as uncharacterized. The transcript is spliced from 2 exons. The record is from RefSeq and is a predicted model, not a curated record. Lineage: Eukaryota; Metazoa; Chordata; Actinopteri; Cyprinodontiformes; Poeciliidae.
GGAGAUCCAGGAUGAGGCAAUGGAAGGCUGUUGGAGUUCGAAACCUUGUUUACAAUGGUGGAGAUCCGAGUUUUAUAAUUAUAAUAAAUGUUACUGUCCAUAAACAGGAACGUUUGCACCUUUAAUCCAGAACCAACUCUGUCCACCUGAAGUGACGGAUACUUACCACCAAUCUGAGCUGGGAUCUGCUCAGGCAUAACUCAUGGCUUGCCGACAGCCAUGGCCUUCCAUUGUUCUCAGAACCAAUUAAAAGCAGCUUGCAGAGAGAAAGGCUGCCUCAUCUGAUAUCAUCCGUCAUGGUAAACAUUACCUGCGCUGUACCACUGAACGCCACUGUAUCUGAGCCGGGGAACUGAUGACUGCGUCUCCAGAAGACGUUUUGUUCCCACCGCCGCAUACAACGGGACAAAAAGGAAGAAUAAACAGCAUUCAACAGCCGCCAAUUAGCCAGAUUUGACGUGUUUGUUGGGGUUUUUGAUGACAACGUUGAUGGAUUAAACGUGGCGCAUUAGUGCGGCGGUGCGUCUCCGUUGGUGUUUAAUGGGUUGUAAAAGCAGAGUGGAGAUCUAUCUCUUCACACCAGAACCAGAGCAGAAUAUUAAUAACUCUGUUAGAAUCUGUGGCACAUUCGCCUCCGCCUUCUCAAGCAUGAAUGAUUUAGAAGUGAGGGAAAAAUAUAUGCAUGUAACCUUGUAC